This 465-nucleotide ribosomal RNA is filed under the name uncultured Klebsiella sp. Its description in RNAcentral is "bacterial SSU rRNA". It matches the Rfam family "Bacterial small subunit ribosomal RNA", at positions 338 to 795 of the family's 1533-position model. The record is from RNAcentral. Lineage: Bacteria; Pseudomonadati; Pseudomonadota; Gammaproteobacteria; Enterobacterales; Enterobacteriaceae.
CCUACGGGUGGCUGCAGUGGGGAAUAUUGCACAAUGGGCGCAAGCCUGAUGCAGCCAUGCCGCGUGUGUGAAGAAGGCCUUCGGGUUGUAAAGCACUUUCAGCGGGGAGGAAGGCGGUGAGGUUAAUAACCUCAUCGAUUGACGUUACCCGCAGAAGAAGCACCGGCUAACUCCGUGCCAGCAGCCGCGGUAAUACGGAGGGUGCAAGCGUUAAUCGGAAUUACUGGGCGUAAAGCGCACGCAGGCGGUCUGUCAAGUCGGAUGUGAAAUCCCCGGGCUCAACCUGGGAACUGCAUUCGAAACUGGCAGGCUAGAGUCUUGUAGAGGGGGGUAGAAGUCCAGGUGUAGCGGUGAAAUGCGUAGAGAUCUGGAGGAAUACCGGUGGCGAAGGCGGCCCCCUGGACAAAGACUGACGCUCAGGUGCGAAAGCGUGGGGAGCAAACAGGAUUAGAUACCCCUGUAGUC